GCUUCUGGUUAUUUUAUUUGUCUCGCGUUUUUAUCAUCUCUCCGUGGUUUUGGCCUCGAGCUGUCUGCAGACUUAAUCUGAUUUUAUGGGCAGAGAGCUCAACUUUUUUUCCCAUGUUUCGCAAUUUUUCCCUUAUGAUUUCUAGAGUGAGAAAGAGAUAAAUUGUAACACUCCGGAAUAUAAAAAAGAAAAUUCAAAAAUGAAAAGUUUCUGGUUUUUCCCUGCUUCGUAUGCGUAUCAUUGUAUUUUGAUCUCUGUUUUUAUCACAGUCCAAUCGACUUUUAUUUUUUGGUGAAUAUGAGAGCUUUACAUCAGUGGUCAAUUACUCAAAUUCAUGGUGGAAAGAACUCAUGUGAUAUUGUCUUUGCCUAUAAUCAUGAACGGAUCCUAGGAGAGCAGGGAGGAAAGGGAGAAGUAAGAAAUGGGCGAGCCCAUUUUGGGUAUCAACGCGGUUUUUAAUGGAAAAACAAAUUAAAAGUGUGUUUAGAUUUUAAUAGGAUAUAAAAAAUUAAUUAAUAUAAUAGAUUUUAAUUAAAAGUGAUUAUAUUAUGAUGUGAAGGUGUUUGAAUGAUAGUUUUUAAAAUUAAUUUUGAUAAAAUUAAAGAAAUUUUAAUGAUUUUAAUUUAAAUUAACUUUAGAUGUGUAAAUGACAAUAAAAGACAUGAGUUUUAGGGGAAAUAAAAUUGCGUAUGAUAUUAUUAAAUUUAUUUUGAUUUAUUUAAUAAAAAUAUAAUAAUGAUACAUUUACUGUUUUAAAAAUUGUUCAGCACACAUAUAUUGAUAAGUAAUAUAAAUUUAAAUUAAAUUUUAUUAUAAAUUUAUAAAUGUUAAUAUUUAACAAUAUUUUUUUAUCAAUGUUACAGUUUUUUUUUAAUUUUUCUCACGUUUAAUGUUUUGUUCUCUUUAAUAAUAAAUAAUAAAUAUUUUUAUUUCUUUUUUUUGUUUUUGUAGAAACUUUCCUUUUUGUCUCGAGCUGAGGCAGUCACUUUGUUGAUUUGUCACAGUUCACACUCUUUGAACAUUAACGUCCAGACGAAGCCAGGGACACACUUCGUAGGUUAAAAAUUCUGACAAGCAAUAAAUGCUCAAAGGGGUAUAACUGAAAUUGACAAGCCGGUGAGAAUAACUUAAGCAAAAAUGUGAUUUGGGUUUGGGGUAAUAUAAUCAAUUAUGCACAAAUGGAGGUGCUUGAAUAUUUUUCACCAAAACUUUAUUUCUGGAUAGAUAAUUGAUUCUCAUGGCCAAUCCACAGAAAAACGAAUCAUAGAAAGUACAGUGGGAUAGGAUAGCUUUUUGAAAUUCACGAACUUAUGACUAUUAAUUAAUUUUAUCAUAUGAAGAAAAAUAAUGUUUAGCUUUGAUGAAUCGUAAAAUAAAAAAACUAUGCUAAGCACAGAUUUUUUUUUAAAAAAGAAAUAGGUUGAUUGUUGGUUGACCCAGGUUUGAUGAAUCGUCCCACUAACCUGACUCAGGUUCUUUGCUGCCUACAAUGAAAGCUACUGAGUAUUGAUUAUGCAAAUAGUGCAUAAAGUAUCGCUUGGGAUGGAUGCUACAGUAUAUUCUUUGUAGGGAUAUGGAAUCAUGAGUCAUGGGAGGGAAGUCCUUCAGGGGGAAGAUAAACAUGCAAAGACCUCCUUUAUCAGCUGAUCACUUUUGGCCAGGAAAGCAACAGCGCAUCAGAAUUUGAAAGAACCCAACCAAGCCACUCUGCCCUCUCGGCCAAGCAAAAAAGCCUGUCCUUAUCCCGUAAACUAUAUGCAAUUUCCUUGUCAUCCACUUUCUAUCCCAAUUUAAUGCCUGUCUUUGACUUCUCCCUCUCAGCAAUCUCCACGUGCCCUGCCCGGUGAAUUGGGAUUUUUGCUCGACAAGCUUGUCAUAUCUCGUGCAGGAGAUUGUCAAAUAAUAAUAGAAACGGUGGAAAGACUUCAACUUGACGUGAGGGCGUUGGAUUAUAUGGGGUUGGGCAUGAAAUAUGAAGAAGCAAGGUGUUAACUCAGUUUUGGGUUUCUCAAUGUGGGCUGUGUAUUCCACGGAGUGAUUUCUCCGCAACGUAAAAUGAAAAUUUCCGACAACCAGCGCAAGACAAAUAUUUUCGCAAGUAAAGCCACACUGUUCACGAUCAAAGGUAACCUUCUAGAUUUGCAAAACAUAUCCACAUGCACCCAGCCGCUAGCAGUCCGGUGACUCUUCUCGGAGCGUUUAAUCAUCCAUGGCCGCCGGGAAGUCAGCGUCAACUUUUUCCCAAUACUUAUCUUAAUGAUGAAGACAGAAUGAAGAAAAUGAAGAAUAAAGAAAAAGGAGAAGCCCCUCUCCGUUGAUGGUGGGCUCAUUAUUCCUGGUGACUAAUUAAUGGCCGGCUAACCAUCCAACGGUCCACAUUUCAGGUUCACUGCUCAGAAGAUCCGCAUUCACCCAAUAUAAAUAUCAAUUAUAUAAUGAUCUUAAAUUAGGACACGUGGAUUUCGUUCUGCCUAUUCCAAAGGAUUCACGGAUGUUAAUUUAAUUUAAUUUAAUUUAAUUAUUAUUAAUGAUUAUGUUUUGUUAUAUGGUUUGUGAUACUUGUU
Long non-coding RNA from Prosopis cineraria, 2564 nucleotides. RefSeq lists it as uncharacterized. The record is from RefSeq and is a predicted model, not a curated record. The transcript is spliced from 3 exons. Lineage: Eukaryota; Viridiplantae; Streptophyta; Magnoliopsida; Fabales; Fabaceae.